GACGGAGGGUGCAAGCGUUGUUCGGAAUUACUGGGCGUAAAGGGCUCGUAGGCGGCCAACUAAGUCGGACGUGAAAUCCCUCGGCUUAACCGGGGAACUGCGUCCGAUACUGGAUGGCUUGAGUUCGGGAGAGGGAUGCGGAAUUCCAGGUGUAGCGGUGAAAUGCGUAGAUAUCUGGAGGAACACCGGUGGCGAAGGCGGCCCCCUGGACCGGAACUGACGCUGAGGCGCGAAAGCGUGGGUAGCAAACGGG
RNAcentral lists this ribosomal RNA (253 nucleotides) under uncultured bacterium. RNAcentral describes it as "partial 16S ribosomal RNA". It matches the Rfam family "Bacterial small subunit ribosomal RNA", at positions 524 to 776 of the family's 1533-position model. The record is from RNAcentral.